This 1531-nucleotide ribosomal RNA is filed under the name uncultured Planctomycetota bacterium. Its description in RNAcentral is "bacterial SSU rRNA". It matches the Rfam family "Bacterial small subunit ribosomal RNA". The record is from RNAcentral. Lineage: Bacteria; Pseudomonadati; Planctomycetota.
AGAGUUUGAUCAUGGCUCAGAACGAACGCUGGCGGCGUGGAUUAGGCAUGCAAGUCGAACGAGGAUAUAUCCUUCGGGAUAUAAGCCGAGUGGCACAAGGGUGAGCAAUGCAUAGAUUACCUACCUUUAGGAUAAGGACAACUUUGUGAAAACGGAGCUAAUACUUAAUAAUACAAAAGAAAAUAAUUUUCUUUUGUCAAAGGGAGGGUAGCAAUACCUUUCGCCUAGAGAGGGGUUUAUGUCCUAUCAGCUUGUUGGUGGGGUAAUAGCCUACCAAGGCAAAGACGGGUAGCCGGUUUAAGAGGAUGGUCGGCCACACUGGGACUGAGACACUGCCCAGACUUCUACGGAAGGCUGCAGUCGAGAAUCUUUCGCAAUGCCCGAAAGGGUGACGAAGCGACGCCGCGUGGGUGAAGAAGGCCUUCGGGUUGUAAAACCCUGUCAGGAGUUAUGAAAUGUAAGUACGCUAAUAUCGUGCUUAUUUGACAAAGGCUCCAAAGGAAGCCACGGCUAACUCUGUGCCAGCAGCCGCGGUAAUACAGAGGUGGCGAGCGUUGUUCGGAAUUAUUGGGCGUAAAGAGCACGUAGGUGGGUUUGCAAGUCAGAUGUGAAAGCCUUCUGUUCAACGGGAGAAUUGCAUCUGAAACUGCUAAUCUUGAGUAUAGGAGGGGAGAAUGGAACUUCUGGUGGAGCGGUGAAAUGCGUAGAUAUCAGAAGGAACGCCGGCGGCGAAAGCGAUUCUCUGGCCUAUUACUGACACUCAGUGUGCGAAAGCUAGGGGAGCAAACGGGAUUAGAUACCCCGGUAGUCCUAGCCGUAAACGAUGGGCACUAAGUAGAGGGAAUUACCUAUGUUCUCUCUGCCGUAGCUAACGCAUUAAGUGCCCCGCCUGGGGAGUACGGCCGCAAGGCUAAAACUCAAAAGAAUUGACGGGGGCUCGCACAAGCGGUGGAGCAUGUGGCUUAAUUCGAUGCAACGCGAAAAACCUUACCGGGGCUUGACAUGAUAGAAGUAGGAACCUGAAAGGGGGACGAACGGUAUCCAGUCCGUAGCUAUUACAGGUGUUGCAUGGCUGUCGUCAGCUCGUGUCGUGAGACGUUGGGUUAAGUCCCCUAACGAGCGAAACCCUUGUUUUUAGUUACCAGCGGGUUAUGCCGGGUACUCUAGAAAGACUGCCGUCGUCAAGACGGAGGAAGGUGGGGAUGACGUCAAGUCAUCAUGGCCCUUAUGCCCCGGGCUGCACACGUGCUACAAUGGUCGGUACAAACGGAAGCGAAGCCGAGAGGUGUAGCGAAUCCUAAAAAGCCGAUCUCAGUUCGGAUUGGAGGCUGAAAUUCGCCUCCAUGAAGUUGGAAUCGCUAGUAAUCGCGGAUCAGCAAUGUCGCGGUGAAUAUGUUCCCGAGCCUUGUACACACCGCCCGUCAAGCCACCCAAGCAGGAUGCACCCGAAAACAUUAUAUCUAACCAGGGCAACUUGGAGGAAAAUGUUGAAGGAGUGUUUUGUGAGGAGGACUAAGUCGUAACAAGGUAA